RNAcentral lists this ribosomal RNA (444 nucleotides) under Triticum aestivum (bread wheat). Its description in RNAcentral is "partial small subunit ribosomal RNA". Lineage: Eukaryota; Viridiplantae; Streptophyta; Magnoliopsida; Poales; Poaceae. The record is from RNAcentral.
AUGGUGAGUUUUCCAUCACACGCACACGGUCCUCUCUCGUACCAAAUUCUGCAACGAACAGAUUGUCCCCCGCAGGGUGGAAUAGCAGCCCUUUCGGAUUGCCCCAAGCCGGCCUCAUCGCCGACGAGAUCGUCUGAAUAUGAAGAACACCAGGGGAAAGCACCUUCCCCACCAAUGCACAAUCGGAGUCGACCAGAUCAGCGUCGUCUUCAUCGUCCAGCAACACAGGUUGCGCCUCGACUGCAGUCAGCCGCAAGCGCUCCAACAGGUCUUCUACAGGUGCACGGGAGCCGGAUCCACCCGUCUCCCGCACCGGUUCAGAGGCCGUCGUCGCCUUACCCGAGCUGGGGAGCAGCGGCCCCGAUGGAGCACCGCCGCUGCGUGGGGUCAAACGGGCGGCCGCCUCACCGCUCAUCCCCUUCUCCCCUGCAGUCUCCGCCAUGA